This 65-nucleotide transfer RNA is filed under the name bovine gut metagenome. It matches the Rfam family "tRNA", at positions 5 to 66 of the family's 71-position model. From Rfam's summary of the family: Transfer RNA (tRNA) molecules are approximately 80 nucleotides in length. Their secondary structure includes four short double-helical elements and three loops (D, anti-codon, and T loops). Further hydrogen bonds mediate the characteristic L-shaped molecular structure. tRNAs have two regions of fundamental functional importance: the anti-codon, which is responsible for specific mRNA codon recognition, and the 3' end, to which the tRNAs corresponding amino acid is attached (by aminoacyl-tRNA synthetases). tRNAs cope with the degeneracy of the genetic code in two manners: having more than one tRNA (with a specific anti-codon) for a particular amino acid; and 'wobble' base-pairing, i.e. permitting non-standard base-pairing at the 3rd anti-codon position. The record is from RNAcentral.
CUGUAGCUCAGUCGGUAGAGCAAGGGACUGAAAAUCCCUGUGUCGAUGGUUCGAUUCCGUCCGGG